RNAcentral lists this long non-coding RNA (253 nucleotides) under Lathyrus oleraceus (garden pea). RNAcentral's name for it is "Pisum sativum (pea) long non-coding RNA (PSAT_LNC037387)". Lineage: Eukaryota; Viridiplantae; Streptophyta; Magnoliopsida; Fabales; Fabaceae. The record is from RNAcentral.
UGUUUUAUGAUUGCUCUAAGUUGGUGUGACAAUUUGUGUCACACCUUUUGAUGUUCAACUUGUAUGAUGUGUUUGCCAUGCCAAAUGAUCUCCAAUUGUCCUGAUUUUUUGUAUGAUGAUCUUGUUAUAUGUCUUGAACAUGCUUGAUUUUUGUUGGAAUUAUUUGAAUCAUUUCUGAUUUAAUUGAGAUUUUUCAUUCUGGUUGGUCACAUAUGAGCUUUAAAAUUGCCUUGAACUUCAUUUGAUCAUGAAA